This is a non-coding RNA of Stegodyphus mimosarum, 73 nucleotides long. NCBI's taxonomy places the organism in Eukaryota, Metazoa, Arthropoda, Arachnida, Araneae, Eresidae. The record is from Rfam.
GCCUUCGUAAUGCAGUGGUCAGCACGCUCGAUGCGUAACCGAGAGGUCCGUGGUUCGAUUCCCGGCAAAGGCG